Molecule: unclassified non-coding RNA, 229 nt
Filed under: plant metagenome
Description: partial contains small subunit ribosomal RNA, internal transcribed spacer 1, and 5.8S ribosomal RNA
Source: RNAcentral
UCUCCGUAGGUGAACCUGCGGAGGGAUCAUUACAGAGUUCAUGCCCUACCGGGUAGAUCUCCCACCCUAUGUUAUUAUUACUUUGUUGCUUUGGCGGGCCGUUAGGCUCCGGCCCGACUACCGGCCCCGGCUGGUAAGCGCCCGCCAGAGGACCCAAAACCCUGAAUAUUAGUGUCGUCUGAGUACUAUAUAAUAGUUAAAACUUUCAACAAUGGAUCUCUUGGUUCUG